Molecule: ribosomal RNA, 491 nt
Filed under: uncultured bacterium
Lineage: Bacteria
Description: bacterial SSU rRNA
Rfam family: Bacterial small subunit ribosomal RNA
Source: RNAcentral
CUACGUGCCAGCAGCCGCGGUAAUACGUAGGUGGCAAGCGUUGUCCGGAAUUAUUGGGCGUAAAGCGCGCGCAGGCGGAUUGGUCAGUCUGUCUUAAAAGUUCGGGGCUUAACCCCGUGAUGGGAUGGAAACUGCCAAUCUAGAGUAUCGGAGAGGAAAGUGGAAUUCCUAGUGUAGCGGUGAAAUGCGUAGAUAUUAGGAAGAACACCAGUGGCGAAGGCGACUUUCUGGACGAAAACUGACGCUGAGGCGCGAAAGCCAGGGGAGCGAACGGGAUUAGAUACCCCGGUAGUCCUGGCCGUAAACGAUGGAUACUAGGUGUGGGAGGUAUCGACCCCUACCGUGCCGGAGUUAACGCAAUAAGUAUCCCGCCUGGGGAGUACGGCCGCAAGGCUGAAACUCAAAGGGAUUGACGGGGACCCGCACAAGCGGUGGAGUAUGUGGUUUAAUUCGAAGCAACGCGAAGAACCUUACCAGGCCUUGACAUUGAC